GUGUCAGUGGUGUAAUGGUUAGCAUGGUUGCCUCCCAAGCAGCCGGUCCGGGUUCGAUCCCCGGCUGACGCA
Molecule: non-coding RNA, 72 nt
Organism: Octopus bimaculoides (California two-spot octopus)
Lineage: Eukaryota; Metazoa; Mollusca; Cephalopoda; Octopoda; Octopodidae
Source: Rfam